CACGUAGGGCGCAAGCGUUGUUCGGAUUUACUGGGCGUAAAGAGCUCGUAGGCGGCUCGUUGCGUCGGCUGUGAAAACCCGCAGCUCAACUGUGGGCUUGCAGCCGAUACGGGCGGGCUGGAGUUCGGUAGGGGAGACUGGAAUUCCUGGUGUAGCGGUGAAAUGCGCAGAUAUCAGGAGGAACACCGGUGGCGAAGGCGGGUCUCUGGGCCGAUACUGACGCUGAGGAGCGAAAGCGUGGGGAGCGAACAGG
RNAcentral lists this ribosomal RNA (253 nucleotides) under uncultured bacterium. RNAcentral describes it as "partial 16S ribosomal RNA". It matches the Rfam family "Bacterial small subunit ribosomal RNA", at positions 524 to 776 of the family's 1533-position model. The record is from RNAcentral.